This 66-nucleotide transfer RNA is filed under the name Odontotermes longignathus. RNAcentral describes it as "tRNA-Asn". The record is from RNAcentral. Lineage: Eukaryota; Metazoa; Arthropoda; Insecta; Blattodea; Termitidae.
UUAACUGAAACCAAAAAGAGGUAUAUUAUUGUUAAUAAUAAAAAUGAAUAAACAAUUCCAGUUAAA